RNAcentral lists this ribosomal RNA (269 nucleotides) under uncultured bacterium. RNAcentral's name for it is "partial 16S ribosomal RNA". It matches the Rfam family "Bacterial small subunit ribosomal RNA", at positions 28 to 301 of the family's 1533-position model. The record is from RNAcentral.
GAUGAACGCUGGCGGCAUGCCUAACACAUGCAAGUCGAACGGGAGGAUCUUUCGGGGUCCGAGAGUGGCGAACGGGUGAGUAACACGUUGGUGACCUGCCCUAAAGCGGGGGACAACAGAUGGAAACGUCUGCUAAUACCCCACUGGGCCUUAAAGCGUUGGAAGUUUUAAGGUAAAGCUAAAGCACUUUAGGAGGGGCCAGCGGGCUAUCAGCUAGUUGGUAGGGUAACGGCCUACCAAGGCGAAGACGGCUAGGGGCGUGAGAGCGU